RNAcentral lists this ribosomal RNA (117 nucleotides) under Oryzias melastigma (Indian medaka). The record is from RNAcentral. Lineage: Eukaryota; Metazoa; Chordata; Actinopteri; Beloniformes; Adrianichthyidae.
AUCUAGAUCCAAUCCACCAACCCCUCCUGGUCUCAUGUGGUCUUAGAAUCUAAGCAGGGUUGGGUCCUAUUAGUCCGAGAUUGGGAGAUCAUCUGGGACCACCAGGUGGUGUAAGGU